AAGAUCCCCCACACUGGUACUUGAGACACGGACCAGACUCCCUACGGGAGGCAGCAGUGAGGAAUAUUGGUCAAUGGAGGCAACUCUGAACCAGCCAAGCCGCGUGAAGGAAGACUGUUCUAUGAAUUGUAAACUUCUUUUGUGACAGAGUAAAAGAUAGCUACGCGUAGUUUUUUGCAAGUAUGUCAUGAAUAAGCAUCGGCUAACUCCGUGCCAAGCAGCCGCGGUAAUACGGAGGAUGCAGGCGUUACCCGGAUUUAUUAGGUUUAAAGGGUGUCCAGGCUGUCUGGUAAGUCACAGGUGAACGUCGCGUUGCUUAACGAUCGAAUUGCCUUUUGAACUGGUCAGACUUGGAGUAUGGACUCGGUUAGGCGGAAAUGUGUUAGCGUACCGGUGUAAAUGCGAUAGAUAUUACACAGAACACCGGAUUGCGAAACCAGCUUACCAAACCUAGCACCUGACGCUGUAAGCACGAAGCGUUGGGUAGCGUACAGGGAUUAGAUACCCUGGGUAGUCCACCGCCAGUAAAACCGAUGCUCACUCAGCUGUUGGCAAAUAGAUCGUCAACCGGGCUAAGGGAAACCGGAUAAGUGAUCCAACCUGGGGAGUAACGAUCGCAAAGAUUGAAACUCAAAGGAAUUGACGGGGGCCCGCACAAGCGGUGGAACAUGUGGUUUAAUUCGAUGAUACGCGAGGAACGUUACCUGGGCUUAAAUGUACGAUGCAUAAGUUGGAAAGCACUUUUUCCUUCGGGACUUUGUACAAGGUGCUGCAUGGUUGUCGUCAGCUCGUGCCGUGAGGUUGUCGGGUUAAG
RNAcentral lists this ribosomal RNA (814 nucleotides) under uncultured organism. RNAcentral describes it as "bacterial SSU rRNA". It matches the Rfam family "Bacterial small subunit ribosomal RNA", at positions 300 to 1084 of the family's 1533-position model. The record is from RNAcentral.